Molecule: ribosomal RNA, 324 nt
Filed under: uncultured eukaryote
Lineage: Eukaryota
Description: partial 18S ribosomal RNA
Rfam family: Eukaryotic small subunit ribosomal RNA
Source: RNAcentral
CCCUUAGAUGUUCUGGGCCGCACGCGCGCUACACUGGCGGAGUCAACGAGUUGUCCUGCAUCGGAAGGUGUGGGUAAUCUUUUGAAACUUCGUCGUGCUGGGGAUAGAUCUUUGCAAUUUUCGAUCUUGAACGAGGAAUUCCUAGUAAGCGUGAUUCAUCAGAUCGCGUUGAUUACGUCCCUGCCCUUUGUACACACCGCCCGUCGCUACUACCGAUUGAAUGGUUUAGUGAGGCCUCGGGACUGGCGCGCUCGAGUAGCAAUACACCUGCGCGCCGGGAACUUGGUCAAACUUGAUCAUUUAGAGGAAGUAAAAGUCGUAACA